RNAcentral lists this ribosomal RNA (462 nucleotides) under uncultured bacterium. Its description in RNAcentral is "bacterial SSU rRNA". It matches the Rfam family "Bacterial small subunit ribosomal RNA", at positions 338 to 795 of the family's 1533-position model. The record is from RNAcentral.
CCUACGGGCGGCUGCAGUGAGGAAUCUUGCACAAUGGGCGCAAGCCUGAUGCAGCGACGCCGCGUGAAUGAUGAAGGCUUUAGGGUUGUAAAGUUCAGUAAGCAGGGAAGAAUAAGCAAGAGGUAAUAUUUCUUGUGAUGACGGUACCUGCCUAAAGCCCCGGCUAACUACGUGCCAGCAGCCGCGGUAAUACGUAUGGGGCGAGCGUUGUUCGGAAUUAUUGGGCGUAAAGGGCGUCUAGGCGGGAAAUUAAGUUAGGUGUGAAAGCUAUGGGCUCAACCCAUAAACUGCAUCUAAAACUGAUUUUCUUGAGUUCGGGAGAGGAGAGCGGAAUUCCAGGUGUAGCGGUGAAAUGCGUAGAUAUCUGGAAGAACACCAGUGGCGAAGGCGGCUCUCUGGCCUAGAACUGACGCUGAAGCGCGAAAGCGUGGGGAGCGAACAGGCUUAGAUACCCCGGUAGUC